RNAcentral lists this ribosomal RNA (504 nucleotides) under uncultured Glomus. Its description in RNAcentral is "SSU rRNA". It matches the Rfam family "Eukaryotic small subunit ribosomal RNA", at positions 569 to 1077 of the family's 1831-position model. Lineage: Eukaryota; Fungi; Glomeromycota; Glomeromycetes; Glomerales; Glomeraceae. The record is from RNAcentral.
AGCAGCCGCGGUAAUUCCAGCUCCAAUAGCGUAUAUUAAAGUUGUUGCAGUUAAAAAGCUCGUAGUUGAAUUUCGGGAUCAAUAUGUCGGUCGUGCCAUUGGUACGCACUGGCAUUAUUGGUUUCUACCUUCUGAAGGACCUCGAUGUCAUUAAUUUGGUGUCUUGGGAAAUCAGGACUGUUACUUUGAAAAAAUUAGAGUGUUUAAAGCAAGCUAACGCUUGAAUACAUUAGCAUGGAAUAAUGAAAUAGGACGUUCGAUCCUAUUUUGUUGAUUUCUAGGAUUGACGUAAUGAUUAAUAGGGAUAGUUGGGGGCAUUAGUAUUCAAUUGUCAGAGGUGAAAUUCUUGGAUUUAUUGAAGACUAACUACUGCGAAAGCAUUUGCCAAGGAUGUUUUCAUUAAUCAAGAACGAAAGUUAGGGGAUCGAAGACGAUCAGAUACCGUCGUAGUCUUAACCAUAAACUAUGCCGACUAGGGAUCGGAUGAUGUUAAUUUUUUAAUGA